UACGUAGGGUGCGAGCGUUAAUCGGAAUCACUGGGCGUAAAGCGCGUGUAGGCGGCUCGGUAAGUCCGCUGUGAAAGUCGGGGGCUCAACCCUCGGAUGCCGGUGGAUACUGUCGGGCUAGAGUACGGAAGAGGCGAGUGGAAUUCCUGGUGUAGCGGUGAAAUGCGCAGAUAUCAGGAGGAACACCAAUUGCGAAGGCAGCUCGCUGGGACGUUACUGACGCUGAGACGCGAAAGCGUGGGGAGCAAACAGG
Molecule: ribosomal RNA, 253 nt
Filed under: uncultured bacterium
Lineage: Bacteria
Description: partial 16S ribosomal RNA
Rfam family: Bacterial small subunit ribosomal RNA
Source: RNAcentral